GUGUUUGAGUGCACACUGUGACGUCUAUAUGAUACGCCGUAGAACCCCUUUAGGUCGUCAACAAUUAUGCAGAACAUCUUGGUGACGGUACUGCUUUUUUGCAUCUCAGGGCCAGCCUGGAAGCUCCUCCUUGUGGCCGGUCUCUGGAGGUGAGAGUGCCAGUGGGCCUGGCUAUGUG
Camelus dromedarius (Arabian camel) is the source of this 178-nucleotide long non-coding RNA. RefSeq lists it as uncharacterized. The record is from RefSeq and is a predicted model, not a curated record. Lineage: Eukaryota; Metazoa; Chordata; Mammalia; Artiodactyla; Camelidae. The transcript has 3 exons.